AUGAGUGUGAUGUGCGUCCUCAUCUGGACUCUCCUCUGCUGCUGCUUCACAGAGUCCAGAGGACAGGUCACAGUGACUCAGCCUGGAGCAGUGAGCUCUGCUGUGGGAGGAACUGUCUCCAUCUCAUGUAGAACCAGUCAGGAUGUUUAUGUUUAUAAAAGCAAUCACUGUUUAUCCUGGUACCAACAGAAAGAUGGAAAAUCUCCUAAACUACUCAUUUACUGGGCUAGCACUCGACAAUCAGGGAUUCCAAGUCGUUUUACAGGCAGUGGAUCAAACUCUGAUUUCACUCUGACCAUCAGUGGAAUUCAGGCUGAAGAUGCAGCAGUUUAUUACUGUCAGAGUUUUCACUACAUCAACAGUAUAAAUAUGUGGACUUUUGGUGGAGGAACCAGACUGGAAGUUGACUUGGGUCAUGUGCCCCCCUCCCUGACAGUGCUGGCCCCCUCCAUGGAGGAGCUGCAGCAGGGGGAGGCCACACUCAUGUGUGUGGCCAACAAGGGCUUCCCCUCAGACUGGACUCUGUCCUGGAAGGUGGUCGGCAGCAGCAGCAGGGAGGAGAGCAGGAGCCCCGGGGUGCUGCAGAAGGACGGCCUCUACAGCUGGAGCAGCACCCUGAGGCUCUCUGCAGACCAGUGGGAGAAGGUGACCUGUGAGGCCAAGAGAGGAUCCCAGACUCCAGUCUCAGAGACUCUCAGGAGAGACCAGUGCUCCCAGUCCUGAACUCAGACACUGACAGAAAUCUGCUUUCUGUGCACUUCUUCUUUAUUCUCUUUCUAUUGUUACAGUUUAACUUUGAAGAAAAAUCUGCUAAUAAAAAUGACAUUUGCCAACUGA
Non-coding RNA from Oryzias latipes (Japanese medaka), 837 nucleotides. NCBI's taxonomy places the organism in Eukaryota, Metazoa, Chordata, Actinopteri, Beloniformes, Adrianichthyidae. The record is from the annotation of a RefSeq genome assembly.